GAAGGGUCGCGAACGCGGUGCCCGUCCGGGUCAUGGUCCCGGAUGUGCCCGAUGAGGGUCGUUCGACUCGACGGCCUUCCCC
This 82-nucleotide transfer RNA is filed under the name Tautonia plasticadhaerens. RNAcentral's name for it is "Planctomycetes bacterium ElP tRNA-His". Lineage: Bacteria; Pseudomonadati; Planctomycetota; Planctomycetia; Isosphaerales; Isosphaeraceae. The record is from RNAcentral.